CUGGAAAGUUUGAUGGAGGUAUCAGAAGUGAGAAUGCAGGUAUGAGUAACGAAAAAAUGGGUGAGAUUCCCAUUCGCCGAAAACCUAAGGUUUCCUGGGUAAAGGUCGUCUUCCCAGGGUUAGUCGGCCCCUAAGGCAAAGCUGAAAAGUGUAGUCGAUGGGAAACGGGUUAAUAUUCCCGUGCCUCUUAUAGUUUCGAUGGAGUGACGCAUGAGGUUAACUACUGCUAGGCGAUGGUUGUCCUAGUUUAAGCAUUAAGGCGAUGAUCUUAAUAGGAAAAUCCGUUAAGAGAGCUAAGAUGUGAUGAUGAGUGCUAUUUAGGUAGCAUGAAAUGUAGGUAGUCAAGGUGCCAAGAAAUAGCUUCUAAGGUUAGGCUAUAAGGGACCGUACCGCAAACC
Molecule: ribosomal RNA, 398 nt
Filed under: Borreliella burgdorferi (Lyme disease spirochete)
Lineage: Bacteria; Pseudomonadati; Spirochaetota; Spirochaetia; Spirochaetales; Borreliaceae
Description: partial 23S ribosomal RNA
Rfam family: Bacterial large subunit ribosomal RNA
Source: RNAcentral